Chrysemys picta bellii (western painted turtle) is the source of this 736-nucleotide long non-coding RNA. RefSeq lists it as uncharacterized. NCBI's taxonomy places the organism in Eukaryota, Metazoa, Chordata, Testudines, Emydidae. The record is from RefSeq and is a predicted model, not a curated record.
GAGAGACUUUGUCAACAAGAACACUAUCUCAACCUUUGUCCGCAUGCUUCCCUCGUAUGGGGAAUUUUUUUCUCUGUGUUGAUAUGGCAGCAUGGUGGAAAGCACAAAGAUGUUGGUGAGAGAAGCAGAUUGAGUUGCUACUCAUAAGAAGUGCCAGAUUGACAGCUCUUGGAGAUGGAAAUCUGGUAUCUGCCACUGAUUAGAGUCUUCUUACGAGAGGCUGAAAGGUGGUGUGGAAACAUUAAAGGUCAAAUCUGAAAGGAUGCGUAUAUCCUUAAUUUCCAGGAGGAAAACCAGUUUGAAAGAUGAAAAGCAACUUGCAUUGACAUUAGCUAAAAAUGGCACAGGGAAGCAAAGCAAUCAGAGUGCUGCUAGUGAGCAGCUCUGUGAAGUUCACCAAGCAGGUGGCUACGUGGAUGGGCAAUUUAUUCCCCUUUAACUGUCAUUUACAGGAAACAGGCAUACAAAAGUGUCAGGCUAAUCUGUUUACUUACUGUGUAAAAUGAUAGCUCAACCACAACACCUAAACUUGUUCUGUUUACCGUCAAAUGAAAACUACUUGUCACAGGGAUGGAUCAUUAAUAUAACAAAGUUUCCUGGAAACAUAAAAUGAAUGGUCUUAUUUUUUGCUUCAGGUCUGUUGCCGGCACAGAGGGCCCGAGGGGGCAACAGCGGGGUUCGUUGCGCGGUGUGCUUCGUGCCAAUGAACACACCAGGGUGGAGAAGCAGACAAAGU